GCCCGAUUAGCUCAGCCGGUUAGAGCGUCGUACUAAUACAAUACCCUGUAUAAAAUUCCUGUAGUUGCGUACAACCCGUUGUAUACGGUCAUGCGAAGGUCAACAGUUCAAUCCUGUUAUUGGGCA
Rhypophila decipiens is the source of this 126-nucleotide non-coding RNA. NCBI's taxonomy places the organism in Eukaryota, Fungi, Ascomycota, Sordariomycetes, Sordariales, Naviculisporaceae. The record is from the annotation of a GenBank genome assembly.